Molecule: transfer RNA, 75 nt
Filed under: Armatimonadota bacterium
Lineage: Bacteria; Bacillati; Armatimonadota
Also listed under: 3 other names
Description: Armatimonadetes bacterium (fermentation metagenome) tRNA-Thr
Rfam family: tRNA
About the family: Transfer RNA (tRNA) molecules are approximately 80 nucleotides in length. Their secondary structure includes four short double-helical elements and three loops (D, anti-codon, and T loops).
Source: RNAcentral
GCCGGCGUAGCUCAGUGGUAGAGCAGCUCACUUGUAAUGAGCAGGUCGUCCGUUCGAAUCGGAUCGCCGGCUCCA